CAGAGCAUAGCAUAUAUAAUGCCCUUUACUUACAAUAAAGAAAAAUCAAAUCAGUUUGCCCUGAUG
This 66-nucleotide transfer RNA is filed under the name Atatina sp. MPL-2014. RNAcentral describes it as "tRNA-Val". The record is from RNAcentral. Lineage: Eukaryota; Metazoa; Annelida; Clitellata; Crassiclitellata; Glossoscolecidae.